AAUCAACGCUGGCGGCGCGCUUAACACAUGCAAGUCGCACGAGAAAGAGGGAGCAAUCCCUUGAGUACAGUGGCGUACGGGUGAGUAACACGUGGAUCAUCUACCUCUUGGUGGGGAAUACCUCCGGGAAACUGGAGACAAUACCGCAUAAGCCUGCAAAGGGAAAGCAGCAAUGCGCCGGGAGAGGAGUCCGCGGCUGAUUAGCUAGUUGGUGAGGUAAUGGCCCACCAAGGCGAAGAUCGGUAGCCGGCCUGAGAGGGCACACGGCCA
Molecule: ribosomal RNA, 270 nt
Filed under: uncultured bacterium
Lineage: Bacteria
Description: partial 16S ribosomal RNA
Rfam family: Bacterial small subunit ribosomal RNA
Source: RNAcentral